AUUGAACGCUGGCGGCAUGCCUUACACAUGCAAGUCGAACGGCAGCGGGGACUUCGGUCCGCCGGCGAGUGGCGAACGGGUGAGUAAUGUAUCGGAACGUACCUUUCAGUGGGGGAUAACGUAGCGAAAGUUACGCUAAUACCGCAUAUUCUGUGCGCAGGAAAGCAGGGGAUCGCAAGACCUUGCGCUGAUUGAGCGGCCGAUAUCAGAUUAGCUAGUUGGUGGGGUAAAGGCCUACCAAGGCGACGAUCUGUAGCGGGUCUGAGAGGAUAAUCCGCCACACUGGAACUGAGACACGGUCCAGACUCCUACGGGAGGCAGCAGUGGGGAAUUUUGGACAAUGGGGGCAACCCUGAUCCAGCCAUGCCGCGUGAGUGAAGAAGGCC
Molecule: ribosomal RNA, 386 nt
Filed under: uncultured bacterium
Lineage: Bacteria
Description: bacterial SSU rRNA
Rfam family: Bacterial small subunit ribosomal RNA
Source: RNAcentral